GCACAGACCACCGAAGAGGCAGCAUGUAACUUGCCCAGCUGAGAAAGGGGUUGAGACUGUAAAAGUCUAUGGAGACUUUUGAAGUUGGACUAAAUGCAUUUAGCAUUGUGAUAUGGCCACAAGACUUUGGGGACCAGGAAAUGGAAGGUGGUAAUUGGAAUGCCAAGUGUCCCCGUAGUCUCAAGCAUUUGAAUACUUGAUCCUCAUUUGGUGAUGCUGUUUCAGGAGGCUUAAGAGGGGUUGCCUUGGUCAUGGUGUUCUGUUGCGUCAACAAGAAGGUGACGGCUACAACCCCCAAGCUUUACCUGAGCAGGAGGCACACUGACCACACGUGAUUCAGCAGGGCUGUGGCGCUGCAAUGGAAGACGUUUGCACCACAGGAGGAAACUCUAAAAACAAAACAACUGGCCAACGCUACUUUCUCUUGUUAAGCAGAACUGUGCCUGGACCUCCCUAGGCUCCCCCACACUCUGCACAGCCCGUCGAGUCAGCCCCUACUCUCAGGAUUUCAGGAAAAGACAGAAUUGAAUGA
Molecule: non-coding RNA, 532 nt
Organism: Myodes glareolus (Bank vole)
Lineage: Eukaryota; Metazoa; Chordata; Mammalia; Rodentia; Cricetidae
Source: RefSeq, a predicted model, not a curated record